GAUGAACGCUGGCGGCGUGCCUAAUACAUGCAAGUCGAGCGAACAGACGAGGAGCUUGCUCCUCUGACGUUAGCGGCGGACGGGUGAGUAACACGUGGAUAACCUACCUAUAAGACUGGGAUAACUUCGGGAAACCGGUGCUAAUACCGGAUAAUAUAUUGAACCGCAUGGUUCAAUAGUGAAAUACGGUUUUGCUGUCACUUAUAGAUGGAUCCGCGCCGCAUUAGCUAGUUGGUAAGGUAACGGCUUACCAAGGCAACGAUGCGUAGCCGACCUGAGAGGGUGAUCGGCCACACUGGAACUGAGACACGGUCCAGACUCCUACGGGAGGCAGCAGUAGGGAAUCUUCCGCAAUGGGCGAAAGCCUGACGGAGCAACGCCGCGUGAGUGAUGAAGGUCUUCGGAUCGUAAAACUCUGUUAUUAGGGAAGAACAAAUGUGUAAGUAACUAUGCACGUCUUGACGGUACCUAAUCAGAAAGCCACGGCUAACUACGUG
RNAcentral lists this ribosomal RNA (497 nucleotides) under uncultured bacterium. Its description in RNAcentral is "partial 16S ribosomal RNA". It matches the Rfam family "Bacterial small subunit ribosomal RNA", at positions 28 to 507 of the family's 1533-position model. The record is from RNAcentral.